Molecule: RNA transcript, 2224 nt
Organism: Doryrhamphus excisus (bluestripe pipefish)
Lineage: Eukaryota; Metazoa; Chordata; Actinopteri; Syngnathiformes; Syngnathidae
Gene name: ras-related protein Rab-9A-like
Source: RefSeq, a predicted model, not a curated record
AGUACCCUCUGGUGGCCAAUGUAAGAAGCGCGACACUUUGAAACAACAUGGCCGCGCCCAUGCUGACGGUCGCUUGUUGACUUGUUGACUACAGUUCAGCCACCAUGCAGCCUGGAGAAAUCGCCCACUGUGCUUUUCGACUUGAGAAAUUGCACGCAGACCAAAGCUGCGUUGACAUCUUAACUCUCGUCGGCGAGCUUGACAAGAGUGACGUCACUGCAGAGCACCUGGAGGGCAUCAGCAACGUUCUUUUCAAGAUUCUCAAAGGAUGCUCAGAUGGAGGUGUGAGGAAGGCGGUCAGAUGUUUGUUGUCCAAGUGGAAGAGGCAGUACAGAAAGACGAAGCACCCAUCAGGCGGGCGAUGUUCACUGCACCCUGUAGGUACCAAGAGUUUGGAUGAAGGAGAUCCUCACUCCUCUCCUCAUCCUCUGGAAGGAACUUCUGUAAGGUCCAAAUGUGUUCAGCUCCUCAUCUCUGCCCUCAGCCCUGAACCAUGUGACCUGGACAAGGCCACAGAGCUGGCCACAGAGGUGGAGCUGCACAUCCACCGACUCCACACGGCCAACCAGGUUAAAUACAAAGCCUGCAUGAGGAGCAAAGUCGCCAACUUGAAGAACCCUAAAAACAACCACCUUCGCCACGGCCUCAUGAGCAGCUCCUUGGCUCCCGAGGCUUUUGCCCGCAUGUCGGCCGAAGAGAUGGCCUGUGACGAGCUGCGGCGGUUGAGGGAGGAGUACUCGUCCCGCGGCGUGAGCGAGAGGCAGCUGCCACGUGGGGUGGAGGGGACGGAGACACAGAAGAUCCGCUGUGAGCGGUGUGGCGGUUCAAACUGUAGGGUGACACAAGUGAACCGGGGGACGCUAUUCCUGCCGGCCUGGGUGCGGCGGGCAGGCCCUGAUGAUGACGCAAUGACCUUUGUGACGUGCAGCGGGUGUGGGCAGCAGUGGUACCACAGUCGCUGGGGCUGCCUCUGAUAACUUCCAUCAGCGUAGCAUGGUGGAGCCUGGCACAGUCUGUAGUCAAGUGUAGCUUAGCGGAGAUGUUCAAAACUGCAACACAUGCAAAUUAGCAAGAGGCUGGGAUACCUGAACAUGAAAUGCUCAUGAGUCAGAGCUUUUCUUCCCGUCACUCACGCACACGUAGCUUGAGAUGCAGCUGUCCUACUUGUUAAAGUUUCUCAGUGUUUGGUAAAGUAAGCAAGUGUACUAAAUAUAUUAAUACUGAAAACAUGAUUUUCCAUAGAUCACAGCGGUAUGCUGGAGCCUAUCCCAGUUGACUGGCCAGAGGUGGGCAUGAGAUAACUCCCCUAUACUCAACUUUACAAUCAUAAUACCCAACAUGGUAGACAAAAUAAGAGUAAAUAGGCCAUUUAAGUCAUGUGCUUGUGUGUUGCUAUAAAUGUCUUCUCUAAGGGUUCCCAAGCAGUAGUACGCAUAUCACGAGUGGUACGCAAGCAAAUUGCAGGGGUGCAUGUGAAAGCAUUUCAUUUACAUUGUCAAAAUAAAAUAUGGGCGGCACGGCGGUCGAGUGGUUAGUGCGCAGACCUCACAGCUAGGAGACCAGGGUUCAAUUCCACCCGUGUGUGGAGUUUGCAUGUUCUCCCCGUGCAUGCAUGGGUUUUCUCCGGGUACUCCGGUUUCCUCCUACAUUCCAAAAACAUGCUAGGUUAAUUGGCGACUCCAAAUUAUCCAUAGGUAUGAAUGUGAGUGUGAAUGGUUGUUUGUCUAUAUGUGCCCUGUGAUUGGCUGGCAACCAGUCCAGAGUGUACCCCGCCUCUCGCCCGAAGACAGCUGGGAUAGGCUCCAGCACCCGCCGCGACCCUUGUGAGGAAAAAGCGGUAGAAAAUGAAUGAAUUAAUGAAAAUAAAAUAUACAAGGGUAGCGAUAAUUACAAAGAAGCAUGUUUAAAAGUACUAAUCACCUAAAAUGCAUGAAUGCUUCCAUCUGUGACGGCAUCCAUGAUGAGCAAGUAAAUGUGCACGCUGGUGCGUGUAUACAAAGGGAUUCUUUUUCCAUGGGAUGAGUGGCGGCGUGACACAAACACGCGGACACAUGAGCACCCUCGGGCCAGCAGACACUGAGUCCCCGCCUUCCACAUGCUCCCAGGCCGGUUUUAUGCAGUCACCCGACAGACGACACUUUCUGCGGUUCAAGGCGGUCUUCCUUCCACGCCAGUCUUUAAGAUCUACAGAUAUGAAAACAUAAAUGAGUGUGCUUAUAUGACG